GACGAACGCUGGCGGCGUGCUUAACACAUGCAAGUCGAACGAUGAAACCUAGCUUGCUAGGUCGAUUAGUGGCGAACGGGUGAGUAACACGUGACUAACCUGCCCCUUUCUCUGGGAUAACGCCUCGAAAGGAGAGCUAAUACCGGAUACUCACAUCGAGGCACAUGCCUUGAUGUGGAAAGUUUUUCGGAAAGGGAUGAGGGCGCGGCCUAUCAGCUUGUUGGUGAGGUAACGGCUCACCAAGGCGAGGACGGGUAGCCGGCCUGGGAGGGGGACCGGCCACACUGGGACUGGGACACGGCCCAGACGCCUACGGGAGGCAGCAGUGGGGAAUAUUGCACAAUGGGCGCAAGCCUGAUGCAGCGACGCCGCGUGAGGGAUGAAGGUCUUCGGAUUGUAAACCUCUUUCAGUAGGGACGAAGCGAAAGUGACGGUACCUAAAGAAGAAGCACCGGCUAACUACGUGCCAGCAGCCGCCGUAA
RNAcentral lists this ribosomal RNA (482 nucleotides) under uncultured bacterium. Its description in RNAcentral is "partial 16S ribosomal RNA". It matches the Rfam family "Bacterial small subunit ribosomal RNA", at positions 28 to 523 of the family's 1533-position model. The record is from RNAcentral.